CAAGCUUGGAUGACUGUGUAAAUAUGAAUCUAAGUUGUGGAAGGUGACUUCUAAAAGCUGUGAUCUGAAAAUCAGCAGACAUCCAACUAAGUUCACCAUAUACUGAAAUAUGACUGAAUCCAGAAAUUUAUAUCUCAAAAGACAACACAGUCAAAAAACUGAUUUUGAUUGAUGCCCAAAGACAACAAGGGGGAGUUAGGAUAACGAUAUAAAUAAAAUAUUUCAGCACACAGAGAAGAACCAUGGAGAUUAACCCUGGAGGAAAUGUGGAAAAGCCCAGAGAUACAAGGGAACAGUGUCUGGGGGAUGCUUUGAAAUGUAUCACACUUCUUGGAAACAAUAACAUGGCCCUGGACAACCCUGCAUCCUAAAAUGGCCCCUGCCUACAGGAAACCAGUCACUCCAGAGAGAACAAAGACCUGCUCUUUCCUGUCUCGCCCUCAGUCAUAGCCAGUCAUCUGCCUCCAUCACACUCCUCCAGCCCUUAUAAACCUCACCCAGCCAAGCCCUGGUUGCUGCUCUCACCAUUGUUCGAGACAGCCUGGCAGCUCUGUCCCUUAAUAAAAGCUCUGCUUUGGGUGUUCGUGUUUCACCUCAUUUUAUUUCUCUCAUUAUUGGUGCUGAACAGCGGGGAGGGAUGUGAUUGGGAUUUUGCGAGGGUCCCCCCACUGGCCAAGGUUGAUUGGCCUCCUGACUGCCCUUGUCGGACCCUGCCAAGCCAACACCCUACCAGGAG
Long non-coding RNA from Heterocephalus glaber (naked mole-rat), 736 nucleotides. The record is from Ensembl. Lineage: Eukaryota; Metazoa; Chordata; Mammalia; Rodentia; Bathyergidae.